UGGGGAAUAUUGCACAAUGGGCGCAAGCCUGAUGCAGCCAUGCCGCGUGUAUGAAGAAGGCCUUCGGGUUGUAAAGCACUUUCAGCGAGGAGGAAGGGUGGUGUGUUAAUAGCACAUCACAUUGACGUUACUCGCAGAAGAAGCACCGGCUAACUCCGUGCCAGCAGCCGCGGUAAUACGGAGGGUGCAAGCGUUAAUCGGAAUUACUGGGCGUAAAGCGCACGCAGGCGGUUUGUUAAGUCAGAUGUGAAAUCCCCGCGCUUAACGUGGGAACUGCAUUUGAAACUGGCAAGCUAGAGUCUUGUAGAGGGGGGUAGAAUUCCAGGUGUAGCGGUGAAAUGCGUAGAGAUCUGGAGGAAUACCGGUGGCGAAGGCGGCCCCCUGGACAAAGACUGACGCUCAGGUGCGAAAGCGUGGGGAGCAAACA
This 427-nucleotide ribosomal RNA is filed under the name uncultured bacterium. RNAcentral describes it as "partial 16S ribosomal RNA". It matches the Rfam family "Bacterial small subunit ribosomal RNA", at positions 355 to 774 of the family's 1533-position model. The record is from RNAcentral.